This 761-nucleotide long non-coding RNA is filed under the name Pandoravirus salinus. RNAcentral's name for it is "putative ncRNA". The record is from RNAcentral.
ACGAGCAGUCAGACGAGUCGUCCUUCUUCUUGUGGUCCUUCUUGUGGUGGCGCUUCUGGUGCGACUUGGCGUGGUGCUUCUUCACCUUCUUGUCGUCGCAGUCGUCGUCCUUCUUGUGGUGCUUCUUCUUGUUGUGCGAGGCGCGCUUCUUGUCGUCCUUGUCGUCCUUGCACUCGCGGUGGUCGUCCUUGGCGUGACGCACGUGCUUGUCGGCGUGCGAGGCGUCCGACUUGGAGUAGUGAUGGUCCUUGGCCUUGCACGAGGCGCGCUUGGCGUCGCGGUGGUCGCGCUUCUUGUGGGCCUCGCGGUCGCGGUGCUUCUUGUCGUGCUUCUUGAGGCACAGGUCCUUCUUGGACUUGUCGCGCUUGUGGUCCUUCUUGGCACACUCGCGCUUGUCCUUGCGGUAGCAGCGCUCGUCCUCCGAGUUGUGGUCGUCCUCGCACCACUUCUUCUCGUAGAACUUGCGCACGUAAAACUUCUUGCGCUUGUGGUGGUUCUUGUCGCGGCGCUUGACGUCCUUCUCGUCCUUCUUGGCGCACUCGCGACGGUCCUUGUCGUGGUGGCGAUCGCACUCGGCCUUCUUGCGGUACUCGUCGUCCUUGCGGUACUCGUCCUCGCACUUUUUGCUGUCGCGCUUCUUCUCGUCCUUGCAGGCGUCGCGCUUCUUCAGGUGCUUGGACUCGCUCUCCGAGUGCGAGUCGGACGAGCACUUGUCAUACUUGUGGUAGGACUUGUCGUGCUUGUCCUUCUUGCGGUGGCGC